GACGAACGCUGGCGGCGUGCCUAAUACAUGCAAGUUGAGCGAUGAAGCUUGGUGCUUGCACCAAUUUGAAGAGCAGCGAACGGGUGAGUAACGCGUGGGGAAUCUGCCUUUGAGCGGGGGACAACAUUUGGAAACGAAUGCUAAUACCGCAUAACAACUUUAAACAUAAGUUUUAAGUUUGAAAGAUGCAAUUGCAUCACUCAAAGAUGAUCCCGCGUUGUAUUAGCUAGUUGGUGAGGUAAGGCUCACCAAGGCGAUGAUACAUAGCCGACCUGAGAGGGUGAUCGGCCACAUUGGGACUGAGACACGGCCCAAACUCCUACGGGAGGCAGCAGUAGGGAAUCUUCGGCAAUGGACGAAAGUCUGACCGAGCAACGCCGCGUGAGUGAAGAAGGUUUUCGGAUCGUAAAACUCUGUUGGUAGAGAAGAACGUUGGUGAGAGUGGAAAGCUCAUCAAGUGACGGUAACUACCCAGAAAGGGACGGCUAACUACGUG
RNAcentral lists this ribosomal RNA (496 nucleotides) under uncultured bacterium. Its description in RNAcentral is "partial 16S ribosomal RNA". It matches the Rfam family "Bacterial small subunit ribosomal RNA", at positions 28 to 507 of the family's 1533-position model. The record is from RNAcentral.